GUGGGGAAUUUUGGACAAUGGGGGCAACCCUGAUCCAGCCAUGCCGCGUGCGGGAAGAAGGCCUUCGGGUUGUAAACCGCUUUUGUCAGGGAAGAAAUCCUUUGGGUUAAUACCUCGGAGGGAUGACGGUACCUGAAGAAUAAGCACCGGCUAACUACGUGCCAGCAGCCGCGGUAAUACGUAGGGUGCGAGCGUUAAUCGGAAUUACUGGGCGUAAAGCGUGCGCAGGCGGUUUUGUAAGAUCGAUGUGAAAUCCCCGGGCUCAACCUGGGAACUGCAGUGGUGACUGCAAGGCUGGAGUGCGGCAGAGGGGGAUGGAAUUCCGCGUGUAGCAGUGAAAUGCGUAGAUAUGCGGAGGAACACCGAUGGCGAAGGCAAUCCCCUGGGCCUGCACUGACGCUCAUGCACGAAAGCGUGGGGAGCAAAUAGGAUUAGAAACCCCUGUAGUCC
Molecule: ribosomal RNA, 450 nt
Filed under: uncultured bacterium
Lineage: Bacteria
Description: partial 16S ribosomal RNA
Rfam family: Bacterial small subunit ribosomal RNA
Source: RNAcentral